CGAACCUGCAGCUGGAUCAUUUU
RNAcentral lists this ribosomal RNA (23 nucleotides) under Leishmania tropica. RNAcentral's name for it is "partial 18S ribosomal RNA". Lineage: Eukaryota; Euglenozoa; Kinetoplastea; Trypanosomatida; Trypanosomatidae. The record is from RNAcentral.